Molecule: non-coding RNA, 231 nt
Organism: Pelobates cultripes (western spadefoot toad)
Lineage: Eukaryota; Metazoa; Chordata; Amphibia; Anura; Pelobatidae
Source: the annotation of a GenBank genome assembly
GUCAGUAGUCUGGCUGCUGCAUUUUGUACAGUCAGAAGGCGAUGGAGUUCCUUUUCUGGGAGGCCCAAGUAAAGGACAUUGCAGUAAUCUAGCCGAGAGGACAAAAAUGCAUGGAUUAAUGUUGGCAUAUCAUCCGGUGGAAUUAAAUAUUGUACAGCUAUGUUUAUCAGAUGAAAGUUGGCAGAUUUUAUUAUGGAGGAAAUCUGCUGUUUAAAUGAGAGUCCAGCGUCA